AACGAACGCUGGCGGCAGGCUUAACACAUGCAAGUCGAGCGGGCCCUUCGGGGUCAGCGGCAGACGGGUGAGUAACACGUGGGAACGUACCUUUUGGUUCGGAACAACUCCGGGAAACUGGAGCUAAUACCGGAUAAGCCCUUAGGGGGAAAGAUUUAUCGCCAAAAGAUCGGCCCGCGUCUGAUUAGCUAGUUGGUGGGGUAACGGCCCGCCAAGGCGACGAUCAGUAGCUGGUCUGAGAGGAUGAUCAGCCACACUGGGACUGAGACACGGCCCAGACUCCUACGGGAGGCAGCAGUGGGGAAUAUUGGACAAUGGGCGCAAGCCUGAUCCAGCCAUGCCGCGUGAGUGAUGAAGGCCUUAGGGUUGUAAAGCUCUUUUGUCCGGGAAGAUAAUGACUGUACCGGAAGAAUAAGCCCCGGCUAACUUCGUG
Molecule: ribosomal RNA, 433 nt
Filed under: uncultured bacterium
Lineage: Bacteria
Description: partial 16S ribosomal RNA
Rfam family: Bacterial small subunit ribosomal RNA
Source: RNAcentral